Molecule: transfer RNA, 97 nt
Filed under: Ensifer meliloti
Lineage: Bacteria; Pseudomonadati; Pseudomonadota; Alphaproteobacteria; Hyphomicrobiales; Rhizobiaceae
Description: Sinorhizobium meliloti tRNA-Arg
Source: RNAcentral
AGCGUCGUCGACGACGAGGUGCAGCACGAAGCCCUCCGGCGGCUUCCAGGGAUGGCCGAAUUCCGGGAAAGGAUCGUUCAGCAUCAAUGCGCCGCCA